Molecule: ribosomal RNA, 1346 nt
Filed under: uncultured bacterium
Lineage: Bacteria
Description: bacterial SSU rRNA
Rfam family: Bacterial small subunit ribosomal RNA
Source: RNAcentral
GACGAACGCUGGCGGCGUGCUUAACACAUGCAAGUCGAACGGAAAGGCCCUGCUUUUGUGGGGUGCUCGAGUGGCGAACGGGUGAGUAACACGUGAGUAACCUGCCCUUGACUUUGGGAUAACUUCAGGAAACUGGGGCUAAUACCGGAUAGGAGCUCCUGCUGCAUGGUGGGGGUUGGAAAGUUUCGGCGGUUGGGGAUGGACUCGCGGCUUAUCAGCUUGUUGGUGGGGUAGUGGCUUACCAAGGCUUUGACGGGUAGCCGGCCUGAGAGGGUGACCGGCCACAUUGGGACUGAGAUACGGCCCAGACUCCUACGGGAGGCAGCAGUGGGGAAUAUUGCACAAUGGGCGGAAGCCUGAUGCAGCAACGCCGCGUGCGGGAUGACGGCCUUCGGGUUGUAAACCGCUUUCGCCUGUGACGAAGCGUGAGUGACGGUAAUGGGUAAAGAAGCACCGGCUAACUACGUGCCAGCAGCCGCGGUGAUACGUAGGGUGCGAGCGUUGUCCGGAUUUAUUGGGCGUAAAGGGCUCGUAGGUGGUUGAUCGCGUCGGAAGUGUAAUCUUGGGGCUUAACCCUGAGCGUGCUUUCGAUACGGGUUGACUUGAGGAAGGUAGGGGAGAAUGGAAUUCCUGGUGGAGCGGUGGAAUGCGCAGAUAUCAGGAGGAACACCAGUGGCGAAGGCGGUUCUCUGGGCCUUUCCUGACGCUGAGGAGCGAAAGCGUGGGGAGCGAACAGGCUUAGAUACCCUGGUAGUCCACGCUGUAAACGGUGGGUACUAGGUGUGGGGUCCACUCCACGGGUUCCGUGCCGUAGCUAACGCUUUAAGUACCCCGCCUGGGGAGUACGGCCGCAAGGCUAAAACUCAAAGGAAUUGACGGGGCCCCGCACAAGCGGCGGAGCAUGCGGAUUAAUUCGAUGCAACGCGUAGAACCUUACCUGGGUUUGACAUGGAUCGGGAGCGCUCAGAGAUGGGUGUGCCUCUUUUGGGGUCGGUUCACAGGUGGUGCAUGGCUGUCGUCAGCUCGUGUCGUGAGAUGUUGGGUUAAGUCCCGCAACGAGCGCAACCCUUGUUCACUGUUGCCAGCACGUUAUGGUGGGGACUCAGUGGAGACCGCCGGGGUCAACUCGGAGGAAGGUGGGGAUGACGUCAAGUCAUCAUGCCCCUUAUGUCCAGGGCUUCACGCAUGCUACAAUGGCUGGUACAGAGAGUGGCGAGCCUGUGAGGGUGAGCGAAUCUCGGAAAGCCGGUCUCAGUUCGGAUUGGGGUCUGCAACUCGACCUCAUGAAGUCGGAGUCGCUAGUAAUCGCAGAUCAGCAACGCUGCGGUGAAUACGUUCCCGGGGCU